GAUGAACGCUGGCGGCGUGCCUAAUACAUGCAAGUCGAGCGAACGGACGAGAAGCUUGCUUUUCUGAUGUUAGCGGCGGACGGGUGAGUAACACGUGGAUAACCUACCUAUAAGACUGGGAUAACUUCGGGAAACCGGAGCUAAUACCGGAUAAUAUUUUGAACCGCAUGGUUCAAAAGUGAAAGACGGUCUUGCUGUCACUUAUAGAUGGAUCCGCGCUGCAUUAGCUAGUUGGUAAGGUAACGGCUUACCAAGGCAACGAUGCAUAGCCGACCUGAGAGGGUGAUCGGCCACACUGGAACUGAGACACGGUCCAGACUCCUACGGGAGGCAGCAGUAGGGAAUCUUCCGCAAUGGGCGAAAGCCUGACGGAGCAACGCCGCGUGAGUGAUGAGGUCUUCGGAUCGUAAAACUCUGUUAUUAGGGAAGAACAUAUGUGUAAGUAACUGUGCACAUCUUGACGGUACCUAAUCAGAAAGCCACGGCUAACUACGUG
RNAcentral lists this ribosomal RNA (496 nucleotides) under uncultured bacterium. RNAcentral describes it as "partial 16S ribosomal RNA". It matches the Rfam family "Bacterial small subunit ribosomal RNA", at positions 28 to 507 of the family's 1533-position model. The record is from RNAcentral.